UACGUAGGGUGCGAGCGUUAAUCGGAAUUACUGGGCGUAAAGCGUGCGCAGGCGGUUCGCUAAGACCGAUGUGAAAUCCCCGGGCUUAACCUGGGAACUGCAUUGGUGACUGGCGGGCUAGAGUAUGGCAGAGGGGGGUAGAAUUCCACGUGUAGCAGUGAAAUGCGUAGAGAUGGGGAGGAAUACCGAUGGCGAAGGCAGCCCCCUGGGCCAAUACUGACGCUCAUGCACGAAAGCGUGGGGAGCAAACAGG
This 253-nucleotide ribosomal RNA is filed under the name uncultured bacterium. RNAcentral's name for it is "partial 16S ribosomal RNA". It matches the Rfam family "Bacterial small subunit ribosomal RNA", at positions 524 to 776 of the family's 1533-position model. The record is from RNAcentral.